This 442-nucleotide ribosomal RNA is filed under the name uncultured Rhodospirillaceae bacterium. RNAcentral's name for it is "bacterial SSU rRNA". It matches the Rfam family "Bacterial small subunit ribosomal RNA", at positions 337 to 797 of the family's 1533-position model. The record is from RNAcentral. Lineage: Bacteria; Pseudomonadati; Pseudomonadota; Alphaproteobacteria; Rhodospirillales; Rhodospirillaceae.
ACCUACGGGAGGCAGCAGUGGGGAAUAUUGGACAAUGGGCGCAAGCCUGAUCCAGCCAUGCCGCGUGGGUGAUGAAGGCCUUCGGGUUGUAAAGCCCUUUUGGCGGGGACGAUGAUGACGGUACCCGCAGAAUAAGCCCCGGCUAACUUCGUGCCAGCAGCCGCGGUAAGACGAAGGGGGCAAGCGUUGUUCGGAAUUACUGGGCGUAAAGGGCGCGUAGGCGGCCCGAUAAGUCAGCCGUGAAAGGCCUGGGCUCAACCUGGGAAUUGCGGUGGGGACGGGUGGGCUGGAGAGCGGGAGAGGAUGGUGGAAUUCCCAGUGUAGAGGUGAAAUUCGUAGAUAUUGGGAAGAACACCGGUGGCGAGGCGGCCAUCUGGACCGUAUCUGACGCUGAGGCGCGAAAGCGUGGGGAGCAAACAGGAUUAGAUACCCCAGUAGUCAU